GCGGUAAUUCAAGCUCCAAUAGCGUAUAUGUAAAUUGUUGCGGUUGAAAAGCUCGUAGUUGGACUUCUGGCGACCGCGUUCGGUCCGCCAAGCGCGUGCACUGUCCGCGGUCGUCGUUUCUGUCGACGUGGCGCGUCGGCCUUAGUUGGUCGGUGCGUCGUCUGUCGGCGAUGUUACUUUGAGGAAAUCAGAGUGCUCAAGGCAAGCGUUCGCUCGUGACUUCACUAGCAUGGAAUAACACAGAUGGGCUCUUUCUCGCACUGUUGGUCUGCGUCAAUUGAGCAACGAUCGAUAGAGACGGUCGGGGGCAUUCGUAUUGCGCAGUUAGAGGUGAAAUUCUCCGAUCUGCGCAAGACGUACUAAUGCGAAAGCAGUUGCCAAGGACGUCCUCUUAUGAUCAAGAGCGAAAGUCGGGGGAUCAAAGAUGAUUAGAUACCGUCGUAGUCCCGACCAUAAAUGAUGCCGACUGAGCUUCGGCGACUCGACCUCAGGUCGUACGUCGGCGCUCUUAGAGAAAUUAAAGUCUUUGGGCUCCGGGGGUAGUAUGGUCGCAAGUCUGAAACUUGAAGGAAUUGACGGAAGGGCACCACAAGGCGUGGAUGUUGCGGCUUAAUUUGACUCAACACGGGAAAGCUUACUAGGUUUGGACACCUUUGUGAUGGACAGAUUGAAGCUCUUACCCUACUGCGUGGAUGGUGGUGCAUGGUCGUUCUCAGCCCGUGGGUUGACCUGUCAGGUUUACUCCGGUAACGCGCGAGACCUCGGUCUGCUAAAUAGACGCGGCUGUUCCGGCACCCGCGCUCUUCUUAGAGAGAGACUCGACGAGAGUCGAGGGAAGUCGAGGCAAUAACAGAUCUGUGAUGCCCUUAGUUAUCCUAGGUCGCACGCGCCAUACAAUGUGGCGCACAACGAGUCUCCUUGGCCGACAGGAUCUGGGCAAUCUGGCAGAGCGCUACGUGACUGGGCUAGACUUUUGUAAUUUUUGGUCUUGAACGAGGAAUGCCUAGUAAUCGCAGGUCAGCAUCCUGCGAUGAUUCGGUCCCUGCCCUUUGUACACACCGCCCGUCGCUCCAUCCGUGGCAUGCGCCGGUGAAGAGGGGGAGGCAGCGUCGGCCGGGUAACACCGGAUCGUACGUGGAACCCCUCUGAACCUUCGCACGUAGAGGAAGGAGAAGUCGUAACAAGGUUUUCGUAGGUGAACCUGCGAAAGGAUCAUUAUCGGCAC
This 1225-nucleotide ribosomal RNA is filed under the name Halimeda minima. Its description in RNAcentral is "SSU rRNA". It matches the Rfam family "Eukaryotic small subunit ribosomal RNA", at positions 576 to 1831 of the family's 1831-position model. The record is from RNAcentral. Lineage: Eukaryota; Viridiplantae; Chlorophyta; Ulvophyceae; Bryopsidales; Halimedaceae.